This 490-nucleotide ribosomal RNA is filed under the name uncultured bacterium. RNAcentral's name for it is "partial 16S ribosomal RNA". It matches the Rfam family "Bacterial small subunit ribosomal RNA", at positions 30 to 507 of the family's 1533-position model. The record is from RNAcentral.
AUUGAACGCUGGCGGCAGGCCUAACACAUGCAAGUCGAACGGUAACAGGAAGCAGCUUGCUGCUUCGCUGACGAGUGGCGGACGGGUGAGUAAUGUCUGGGAAGCUGCCUGAUGGAGGGGGAUAACUACUGGAAACGGUAGCUAAUACCGCAUAAUGUCGCAAGACCAAAGAGGGGGACCUUCGGGCCUCUUGCCAUCGGAUGUGCCCAGAUGGGAUUAGCUUGUUGGUGGGGUAACGGCUCACCAAGGCGACGAUCCCUAGCUGGUCUGAGAGGAUGACCAGCCACACUGGGACUGAGACACGGUCCAGACUCCUACGGGAGGCAGCAGUGGGGAAUAUUGCACAAUGGGCGCAAGCCUGAUGCAGCCAUGCCGCGUGUAUGAAGAAGGCCUUCGGGUUGUAAAGUACUUUCAGCGGGGAGGAAGGGAGUAAAGUUAAUACCUUUGCUCAUUGACGUUACCCGCAGAAGAAGCACCGGCUAGCUCCGUG